UGGCGGACGGGUGAGUAAUGCCUGGGAAAUUGCCCUGAUGUGGGGGAUAACCAUUGGAAACGAUGGCUAAUACCGCAUGAUAGCUUCGGCUCAAAGAGGGGGACCUUCGGGCCUCUCGCGUCAGGAUAUGCCCAGGUGGGAUUAGCUAGUUGGUGAGGUAAGGGCUCACCAAGGCGACGAUCCCUAGCUGGUCUGAGAGGAUGAUCAGCCACACUGGAACUGAGACACGGUCCAGACUCCUACGGGAGGCAGCAGUGGGGAAUAUUGCACAAUGGGCGCAAGCCUGAUGCAGCCAUGCCGCGUGUAUGAAGAAGGCCUUCGGGUUGUAAAGUACUUUCAGCAGUGAGGAAGGAGGUAUCGUUAAUAGCGGUAUCUUUUGACGUUAGCUGCAGAAGAAGCACCGGCUAACUCCGUGCCAGCAGCCGCGGUAAU
This 432-nucleotide ribosomal RNA is filed under the name uncultured bacterium. RNAcentral's name for it is "bacterial SSU rRNA". It matches the Rfam family "Bacterial small subunit ribosomal RNA", at positions 96 to 524 of the family's 1533-position model. The record is from RNAcentral.